CCUACGGGUGGCAGCAGUGGGGAAUAUUGCGCAAUGGGCGAAAGCCUGACGCAGCGACGCCGCGUGAGGGAUGAAGGUCUUCUGAUCGUAAACCUCUGUCAGCAGGGAAGAACGGUCACUGUGCUAAUCAGCAGUGCAUUGACUGUACCUUCAAAGGAAGCACCGGCUAACUCCGUGCCAGCAGCCGCGGUAAUACGGCGGGUGCGAGCGUUAAGCGGAAUUACUGGGCGUAAAGCGCUCGUAGGCGGUAUGUCAAGUCAAGGGUGAAAUCCCCGCGCUCAACGUGGGAACUGCCUUUGAAACUGGCAAACUGGAGUGUGUGAGAGGAAAGUGGAAGUGCAGGUGUAGGAGUGAAAUCCGUAGAUAUCUGGAGGAACAUCAGUGGCGAAGGCGACUAUCUGGAACAUAACUGACGCUGAGGAGCGAAAGCGUGGGUAGCAAACAGGAUUAGAUACCCCUGUAGUC
This 465-nucleotide ribosomal RNA is filed under the name uncultured bacterium. RNAcentral's name for it is "partial 16S ribosomal RNA". It matches the Rfam family "Bacterial small subunit ribosomal RNA", at positions 338 to 795 of the family's 1533-position model. The record is from RNAcentral.